This 106-nucleotide ribosomal RNA is filed under the name Pedobacter sp. Lineage: Bacteria; Pseudomonadati; Bacteroidota; Sphingobacteriia; Sphingobacteriales; Sphingobacteriaceae. The record is from RNAcentral.
GCCUAUAUCGGUGGUGUCCACCUCUUCCCAUUCCGAACAGAGAAGUUAAGCCCACCAGAGCCGAUGGUACUGCGGUAACACGUGGGAGAGUAGGUCGGUGCCAAAU